UGCAUGAUUAGCUGAUGUAUUAAAGGGAUAUUGUCAGAAAGUGGAUUAAAAUGGUUUGUCAAUAUUCCUUUAAUUAAUUGCUAAAUGAGGGUAUGUAUCUGAUCAUUUUCAAGCCCGCGUUAGAAAUACCUGUUACUGUUUCAUUAUCUCCAUAACUCUUGAUUGGUGUUUGAUGUCUUAGGUCCCAAUUCUGCAAUGAGAUCUGUGCUACCAGAUGCCUGCCCCGGGGACCUGGAGCUCAUUGCAGGAUCAGGGCCUGAGUAGUGAGUUGCCACAUUACUGAUGCCUCCAGCAUGAGUGAUGAAUCUAAUCGAGAGUCAGAAAUUGGUCCCAGAGAGCACAUGGGCCCCAGUGGCUCUCUACAGUCUCGUGAAGAGAAACAGGAACCGGUGGUUGUUCGGCCUUACCCACAGGUUCAGAUGUUGACACAACACCAUCCUGUCCAAUCUGGUGCUGCCGUUACAGUGACAGCUCCACCAGCACAUCUGACUCCAGCAGUGCCACUUUCCUUUUCAGAGGGACUUAUGAAGGUAAUGAAGUGGCUCAUGACUGAGUUGAUAAUGAAAAUAAGCCACUAAAGGGGUUAAUAUUUUCCAGGUGUGAUCACAUUGCUCCAGGUUAAUUUCAGUUGUAUUUUAUUUACCUCCUCUUGGCUAAGCUGUUUUUUUUUCUAUAAAUUGCUUUAUUUAUUUAUUCAGCUCUUUUCUGUGCUCGUCUCCUGUGAAUAGGUGCCGCUUCUGUGUGGUGCCGCUACUCCAGAUGACAGAUGGGAACCUUGUAGCCCUGAGGCAGCAUUCUGUGGCCUUUCAACUUACUUUAUUUCUUAGAUUAAGGAUGAUCUAAAUCAAUUUUGUAACUCCUCCCCCCCCAAAUUCAUUCCUGGAACAGAUAGAAAAGAAUGUCAAUAAGAUAUGUGCUUGUACAUAUAAAUAAAGCAUGAAAAUUAAGUAAUGGAGACUCAUGCACAAACUAGGCAAUUUCUGCAGCUGGACAGAAUCCUCUUUGUGAGGAUGGGGUUAAGAGGAGAGAAGUAGACAGAUCUCUGUAAAGGAUAUCUGCAUCUUGAACAAAGGGUUGAUUACAGCCAUUUUCUCUUUUUUUCAGCUAACCCUUUUUUUCAGCUAAAACAUUAUCUUAGUUCUAAUUGUCAAAAGAGGAAUUGUGUAGAAAAGCUAAAGGCUAAGAAGGGAAGGGCAAU
Pelodiscus sinensis (Chinese soft-shelled turtle) is the source of this 1198-nucleotide non-coding RNA. Lineage: Eukaryota; Metazoa; Chordata; Testudines; Trionychidae. The record is from RefSeq and is a predicted model, not a curated record.